UCCCUGUACUGCUUCAACAGAAGGCCGGCUACCUGCUGCAGAAGAACAGUGUUGUCUCCCUCAAAUGUCUGAAAUAUGUCAUGAUCAUUCCUCAAUAUUCCAAACCUAUUGACAGCGGCAUAACCAUGGCCACCACAAGCUUCUCUACAUGUGCUCAAUGACUUUGCUGUGUAAGAAGUGAUAUAGGCCUUUAGCCCUGCAGAAAG
RNAcentral lists this unclassified non-coding RNA (206 nucleotides) under Hevea brasiliensis (rubber tree). Lineage: Eukaryota; Viridiplantae; Streptophyta; Magnoliopsida; Malpighiales; Euphorbiaceae. The record is from RNAcentral.